This 460-nucleotide ribosomal RNA is filed under the name uncultured bacterium. RNAcentral describes it as "partial 16S ribosomal RNA". It matches the Rfam family "Bacterial small subunit ribosomal RNA", at positions 338 to 795 of the family's 1533-position model. The record is from RNAcentral.
CCUACGGGUGGCAGCAGUGAGGAAUAUUGGUCAAUGGACGAGAGUCUGAACCAGCCAAGUAGCGUGAAGGAUGACUGCCCUAUGGGUUGUAAACUUCUUUUAUAUGGGAAUAAAACAGGGUAUGCAUACCCUCUUGUAUGUACCAUAUGAAUAAGGAUCGGCUAACUCCGUGCCAGCAGCCGCGGUAAUACGGAGGAUCCGAGCGUUAUCCGGAUUUAUUGGGUUUAAAGGGAGCGUAGGUGGGUUGUUAAGUCAGUUGUGAAAGUUUGCGGCUCAACCGUAAAAUUGCAGUUGAAACUGGCAGUCCUGAGUACAGUUGAGGUAGGCGGAAUUCGUGGGGUAGCGGUGAAAUGCUUAGAUAUCACGAAGAACUCCGAUUGCGAAGGCAGCUUACUGGACUGCCACUGACACUGAUGCUCGAAAGUGUGGGUAUCAAACAGGAUUAGAUACCCCUGUAGUC